ACGAAGCAUGUGUACCUGCUGUAAAUAUGGACAGAGAGCUACUUGUAGGCUUUAGAUGGGCAACAUUGAGCUGUUUAUUGCCCAUAAAGGACCUUCAAACAUUC
Molecule: small nucleolar RNA, 104 nt
Organism: Cannabis sativa
Lineage: Eukaryota; Viridiplantae; Streptophyta; Magnoliopsida; Rosales; Cannabaceae
Source: RefSeq, a predicted model, not a curated record